CAUGUCUUGCUGGCUACAGAGCCCAUUGCCAGAACAGCUCCGACCAAGGAAAUCAACUGCCAUGCUGGGAGGAUACCCAAAGCAGUCCUGUGGAGUGUUUCACAUGGCAAGGAACUAAGGGUCCCCUGCCAACCACCAGCACUGGCUUGCUAGACAUAUGGAUGCAACCAUUCCAAGGACAAUUUAGAGAAACAAAAUGUCAAGUCAAGAAGAAAAGUGAGGAAGGAAAACCUUUUUCAGAAACCCUGCAGCAGACUUACCUUAGGUCCUAUUGACCAAAAGUGUAUUGUAUGCUCUGUAUACUCUUGUUUUAGUGGCAAAGAUGGCUGGAAAACAACUAUUUGGCAUUUUUAGCAUCUCUAGAGGUGGGUGGUCUCUGCUACCACCACAAAGCAACCUUCAAGCAUAAAUAAGAUUUUUUUCCCUUGUUUUCUUGAAUGUUUCAAUCCAGUGAGUCUAAAAAACAUCCAACGCAGAGAUGCCAUUCAUAAUAGGUAAACAUGGAAGUAGGGCUCCUUAUUUUUUCACAGAACAAGAUCUUAGGUGAAGAGUUCUUUGUUCUAUCUUUUCAUACUAUCUUCUCUCAGUAAAUUAAAACUCAUAGUUUUGAACUUAAAUGACAAAAAACAAAAAGCUCCUUCUAAACAUUCAAUCCUUUGUUCUAUGAAAAUCUGUAAUGGACUUUUAUUGAUUUUCCCUCUUGGUAUUUCCCCUGCUCCUUUUUUGAAAAUGAUACCAAUCAAAAUUGCAAGUUAUUUUUGGAAAUUCUUAUCAUAGAAUUGAUAAUAACUUCUAAAACUCUCAGUUUUACAAAAGCUUUCCAACCAAAACCACUUCCCAAACUAGAUUUCUAGUGGCAGAGAGAAAAGAUAAAACUUAGGAUGAUUUACUUAAGUCCACAUAUUUCAUAGGAAAGCCAGAUUAUUCUUGUGAAAAUUUACAAUAUGAUGUUUCAUCAAGUCAGAUUUUUUGGAAUAGUUAAUGACAAAGAAUGAUCUCUCCUUAUGUGUGGGUGCCAGGGUGAGAGAGCACCUUCUUUCCCAAAGCCUCCUAUUGAUAAUAUGAAAAGCAUUCUUUACUGUUGCAUUUUUUUAUGACCAGACUCUGAGAUUUCAUUAGUCAGCAUUAGCAGCACAAAGAUGAUAUGUAGUUCAAUUCACUUGCAGAAAUGGAUAAGGAAUUGAAUAUGAUUUUUCCCUUUUGUUUUCUCUUUCUAGUCAAAAUGUAUUAAUUAAACUUA
Long non-coding RNA from Manis javanica (Malayan pangolin), 1240 nucleotides. RefSeq lists it as uncharacterized. NCBI's taxonomy places the organism in Eukaryota, Metazoa, Chordata, Mammalia, Pholidota, Manidae. The record is from RefSeq and is a predicted model, not a curated record.